This 501-nucleotide ribosomal RNA is filed under the name uncultured bacterium. Its description in RNAcentral is "partial 16S ribosomal RNA". It matches the Rfam family "Bacterial small subunit ribosomal RNA", at positions 30 to 523 of the family's 1533-position model. The record is from RNAcentral.
AUUGAACGCUGGCGGCAGGCUUAACACAUGCAAGUCGAGCGGGGGAAGGUAGCUUGCUACCGGACCUAGCGGCGGACGGGUGAGUAAUGCUUAGGAAUCUGCCUAGUAGUGGGGGACAACAUCUCGAAAGGGAUGCUAAUACCGCAUACGUCCUACGGGAGAAAGCAGGGGAACUUCGGACCCUGCGCUAAUAGAUGAGCCUAAGUCGGAUUAGCUAGUUGGUGGGGUAAAGGCCUACCAAGGCGACGAUCUGUAGCGGGUCUGAGAGGAUGAGCCGCCACACUGGGACUGAGACACGGCCCAGACUCCUACGGGAGGCAGCAGUGGGGAAUAUUGGACAAUGGGGGGAACCCUGAUCGAGCCAUGCCGCGUGUGUGAAGAAGGCCUUAUGGUUGUAAAGCACUUUAAGCGAGGAGGAGGCUACUCUAGUUAAUACCUAGCGAUAGUGGACGUUACUCGCAGAAUAAGCACCGGCUAACUCUGUGCCAGCCGCCGCAGUAA